UGGACCCUCUGGAAUUGAAAU
Molecule: unclassified non-coding RNA, 21 nt
Filed under: Dictyostelium discoideum
Lineage: Eukaryota; Evosea; Eumycetozoa; Dictyosteliales; Dictyosteliaceae
Source: RNAcentral